This 253-nucleotide ribosomal RNA is filed under the name uncultured bacterium. RNAcentral describes it as "partial 16S ribosomal RNA". It matches the Rfam family "Bacterial small subunit ribosomal RNA", at positions 524 to 776 of the family's 1533-position model. The record is from RNAcentral.
UACGAAGGGGGCGAGCGUUGUUCGGAUUUACUGGGCGUAAAGGGCGCGUAGGCGGCGCGAUAAGUCGAGUGUGAAAGCCCCGGGCUCAACCUGGGAAUUGCGCUCGAUACUCUUGUGCUUGAGUGCGGGAGAGGAGCGUGGAAUUCCCAGUGUAGAGGUGAAAUUCGUAGAUAUUGGGAAGAACACCGGUGGCGAAGGCGGCGCUCUGGACCGAGACUGACGCUGAGGCGCGAAAGCGUGGGGAGCAAACAGG